RNAcentral lists this ribosomal RNA (303 nucleotides) under uncultured bacterium. RNAcentral's name for it is "partial 16S ribosomal RNA". It matches the Rfam family "Bacterial small subunit ribosomal RNA", at positions 507 to 807 of the family's 1533-position model. The record is from RNAcentral.
AGCAGUCGCCGCGGUAAUACGUAGGUGGCAAGCGUUGUCCGGAAUUAUUGGGCGUAAAGGGCUCGCAGGCGGUUUCUUAAGUCUGAUGUGAAAGCCCCCGGCUCAACCGGGGGGGGUCAUUAGAAACUGGGAAACUUGAGUGCAGAAGAGGAGAGUGGAAUUCCACGUGUAGCGGUGAAAUGCGUAGAGAUGUGGAGGAACACCAGUGGCGAAGGCGACUCUCUGGUCUGUAACUGACGCUGAGGAGCGAAAGCGUGGGGAGCGAACAGGAUUAGAUACCCGGGUAGUCCCUGUCUCUUAUAC